RNAcentral lists this ribosomal RNA (253 nucleotides) under uncultured bacterium. RNAcentral describes it as "partial 16S ribosomal RNA". It matches the Rfam family "Bacterial small subunit ribosomal RNA", at positions 524 to 776 of the family's 1533-position model. The record is from RNAcentral.
UACGAAGGGGGCUAGCGUUGCUCGGAAUUACUGGGCGUAAAGCGCACGUAGGCGGCUUUCUAAGUCGGGGGUGAAAUCCUGGAGCUCAACUCCAGAACUGCCUUCGAUACUGGAAAGCUCGAGUCCGGGAGAGGUGAGUGGAACUGCGAGUGUAGAGGUGAAAUUCGUAGAUAUCCGGAAGAACACCAACGGCGAAGGCAGCCUUCUGGGAAGUACCUGACGCUGAGGGGCGAAAGCUAGGGGAGCGAACGGG